This 72-nucleotide transfer RNA is filed under the name Ovis aries (sheep). It matches the Rfam family "tRNA". From Rfam's summary of the family: Transfer RNA (tRNA) molecules are approximately 80 nucleotides in length. Their secondary structure includes four short double-helical elements and three loops (D, anti-codon, and T loops). Lineage: Eukaryota; Metazoa; Chordata; Mammalia; Artiodactyla; Bovidae. The record is from Rfam by way of RNAcentral.
UCCCUGGUGGUUCAGUGGUUAGGAUUCUGUACUUCUACUACAGGGGUGUGGGUUAGAUCCCUGGCUGGGGAA